UAAGUCUCAGUUCGGAUCGCAGGCUGCAACCCGCCUGCGUGAAGCCGGAAUUGCUAGUAAUCGCGGAUCAGCAUGCCGCGGUGAAUACGUUCCCGGGCCUUGUACACACCCGCCCGUCACACCAUGAGAGGCCGGGGGGACCCGAAGUCGGUAGUCUAACCGUAAGGAGGACGCCGCCGAAGGUAAAAACUGGUGAUUGGGGUGAAGUCGUAACAAGGUACC
RNAcentral lists this ribosomal RNA (222 nucleotides) under uncultured bacterium. Its description in RNAcentral is "partial 16S ribosomal RNA". It matches the Rfam family "Bacterial small subunit ribosomal RNA", at positions 1282 to 1500 of the family's 1533-position model. The record is from RNAcentral.